This 1016-nucleotide long non-coding RNA is filed under the name Bos grunniens (domestic yak). RNAcentral's name for it is "lncRNA (ENSBGRG00000018934.1)". Lineage: Eukaryota; Metazoa; Chordata; Mammalia; Artiodactyla; Bovidae. The record is from RNAcentral.
AUGAACAGCAGGGGCAGAAAAGCAGGCGAGCCAGGGGGCUGCAGAGUCAUCUGCGAGAUGGCAAAACCACAGGAGAGAGGACAAGGGCGAGCUGAGCGGCAAGGCGUUCCUGCUGCAGGAGCAAGCCUGCUCCCGGCGACACCCCUCCUUUCCUGCGCAGACUGGAGCCCGCUGGGAGGGGCUGAGGACUGCGGUGAGCGCUGCAGUGUCGGCUUGCAGAGCAGAGCCGCCCCACGCGGUGAUGCGGGAGCAGGAUCUGACUCAGGCUGAGUUGUUCCUUGGGAGAUAUAUUCCACAACUGCAGUGUUCUUGGUGAUGUUUUAAAAGGUAAGUGACCAGCCUGGGCUAAUCCUUGAGUCAGGCCAAAGGCCUGUGCCCUCUGAACUCAGCCCACGGUUCCAUCUUGCUCAAUAUAAGGAUAACCCUAGAACAUCACUAGAGAGAAGCAGUGUGGACCUCACAUGCGUGUCUGGAAGUGGGUGCAUUAUGGCCAGGAUUUUGGUAGUGGCUCAGAAGUGAAAGAGCUCUGCUUGUAAUGCCCAGUUAAAUUAACCUGAGAAAACACUGUUAAAUAACAUGUUUACUAACUGGAUAAUUACUCUGUUGGGCUGCCCUGGUGGCUCAGUGGUAGAGAAUUUGCUUGCCAGUGCAGGAGGCACAAGUUUGAUCGCUGGGUAGAAGAUCCCUGGAGAAGGAAAUGGCAAGCCACUCCAGUUUUCUUGCCUGGGAAAUCCCAUGGACAGAGGAGCCUGGCGGCUACGGUCCAUGGGUUCAUAAAGAGUUGGACACGACUGAGCAGCUAAACAACAACAAUGAUUACUCUGUUGUUAUCAUCCAUUUGGUUUUAGAAAUGGGAUGAACAGAGUUCCCAGUGGAGCUGAGAGAGGAGCUGGAUUUGCCCUGGAAUGCUAUCCACCAGGACAAUUCCCAUAAUCUAGAGUGUACCAUACAGGAAGCAUGGCUGAGUCACAGACAUGGCCAUCAACAAUCUCCAGGACUCAUUCGAAGACUUGGUG